RNAcentral lists this long non-coding RNA (2638 nucleotides) under Homo sapiens (human). RNAcentral describes it as "HSALNT0215859". The record is from RNAcentral. Lineage: Eukaryota; Metazoa; Chordata; Mammalia; Primates; Hominidae.
GGGAUUACAGGUGUGAGCCACUGCACCCGGCCUCACUUUACAUUUUUAUUGGACAGCACUGCUCUAGAAAGGGAGCUAGGAAGAUAGUAAGUAGUGGCUGACUCUUGGUGGUGGAAUUACAAAAGCCUUUCCCCCCUCCUUUUUUAAAAAUAAUUUUUCUGUGUUUUUUAAGCUUUGCAGAAAUGCCACAACUAGCCAUUCUUGCUUUAUAUCUGCAAAGGCACAUCUAUUAUUAUUUUUAAUGACUCUCAGAGCUUGUUGGGAAAUGGGACUGAGUUAAGCAGCUUCCUGGAAGGAUCAGUGUCAGCAACCAUGCUGUGGGGAGAGUCAGGGAACAGCAAGAGUGUCGGGGGCUUUGAGGACUCCAGAGAUUUGAACUGGGCUCAGGGUUCAAGAGCUCAGGUAGGAACCAGAACCCCAGUGAGGGGUGAUGGGGAAGCUUAUUAGUGAGACACAGGAAGUGGCUCCAGUGAUGGCUUCAUGGCUUUGGCCUGGUGGGGCCUCUUCCGGUGUACACAGCAGGAAGCUGUGCUCUUCCUGAUGGACGUCAGCUCCUAUCUCUCCUGGGGAGUGGAGGCUGCUCUGGAGUGGGGCCAAGAUCGGGAGGCCCAGGAGAGAAAAGGGCCUGCAAUCUACCUCCCAGUCAACAAGAUGCUAUAAUAAAAACAUAGCCAACUGUCACUCAGCGUUUAUUACGGUGCCAGGUGCUGCUUCACAUACUUUCCAUAUUUUAACUCAUCUAUUCCUGAAUUGCAAUCUAUGAGAUAGGAACUAUUAUUGUCCCCAUUUCACAGAUGAGGAAACAGGUGCAGAACCGUGGAGUAACCUGCGCAGGGUCUCCAGUAGAAAAACAGGCCCUUGGUCAGAUGAAUUUACCCACUUCGGCCACCAGGGGCGCUGUUGGCACAGCUUGAACUCGAGACCAGCGCUGUCCAACGGAAACCGAACCUCCAGCCAGGGGGACUGAGGGAAGGCUUCCCAGAGGCGGUGACCCUGACAUUGGGUUCCCAGGAGUGAAGAACAUUUUGACAAUCAGCAAGGAGAGCGUUCCAGACGAGGAAGCUGCAUGUUGAGGUGAGGAGGAAGGCACGGCCCACAGCCCUGGAACUCUGGGAGCUGGGGCUCUUCUUAGGAGCCUCCUUGAGCACUUUUAAGCCUGAUAAGAGCUAUGAUUCCUGAGGGCUGAGAGCACUUAGCUUUUACUCCUGCGUCCUCCUACUGAGCACAGUGCUGAUACCAGUAUCAGUUGAAUACGCGAACGUGCAAACUGCCCCACCCCCGCCUUGCUCCAACACACACACACACACAGACACUCUUGCAGAAACAAAUGUUCAAUGCUGGCUGACAUACAGCGACAGAAGAACAAUUGGGGGAAAACACUCCUUCCACUUCACGAUCUUCGCACACGCUGUCUGCCUGACGGGGACACUGUGCCAUGCCCGCCCCCAGUCUGUUCUCAGGGCGUGCUGUGUCUGUCUUAUUCCUGCGGUGUCCCUCCUGCCAUGCACAGAGCUGUCCAUUGGUAAAUAUUUAUUGCUUGAAUUCAUGUGCUCCAAACACAGAAAUAUGUGCUGCAUACCAUUUAGUAAAUGAAGUUGCUAAAGUGAAUGUCCACACGGGGCUCCUGGCUGAUGACAGAAGACUAAGACAAGAAAAGGGGAAAAGUGGGGCAAAAACGCACCAGGCUUCUGUUCAGCAAUGUGUCUCCACUUAGAGAAACGGCCCCUGGCUGCCUGUCUAAGCCACUACUCCUUGCUCAGAGAACAAGAAGUUCCUUGCCUCUCUGCACAUGCGGAGCAACCCUGAAGCCUCAGUUUCCCCAUCUGCAGCAUGGGGACAGUGAGGAGCCUACAGGGUUAUUGUGAGGAUGGGUCAUAAUAACAUGGACAAAACACUCAGCGUGGUGCCUGGCACAGAGCAGAGUCCUGGGAGUGGUGAUGCUCGUGGUGGUAAGGGCCACCCACCUGGAACCCAGAAUGUGGCUCUUCCAGGGAUGGUGGCAAACCUUUGGCCACCUUGGCAGUGAUGAAACACCAGCCUUUGGUCUCUGGCCAAAAACUGCCUCUCCGGGGGCCUACCCCAUGCCUGGCAUCCUGAACUUGCUCUUGGGCUAUUUAGAAUCAACCUGAUCCCUCUUAUCCACCCAGACUCAGUUUCCCAACCUGGUAAAUUGGGGCCAGUUGAACAGGCUGACAUUCCCUGACAAACAGCCUGUCGUUCUAUUGCCGCCUGCUACAAGUGCACCUUUCACUUUCUGCAAACAAAACAAAAAAUAAAAAAAACCUCUGCUGCUUCCUGGCAUUCUUGGGGCUCGCUCAUCCGGGGGUGGACCAAGGGUGGGCCUCUUUUCAGGGAUGCCGGUGCUGUGACCUCCCCCAGGGCCCAUCUCCACUGGGGCAGCUAGAAGGGGAGAAGCCGGCUUGAGUUCCCACUCCCCACGCGCCUGCCACUUCCAGCGCAGAAGCAAUUUGCUUUCAUUAUGAAGGCCAUGGCAGAGUCUGUUUGCAGAAGGACUAAGCUUCUCAGCUGCCUGUACUGCGGGGAAAAUUUUCCUUAAUUAUUUUUUUAUAGCCUAACUUUUGUGUGAGAGGGUUUGUUAUUAUCCCUGCCUCGCUUGAGAGUCAUAAGCCCGCAAGAA